Molecule: ribosomal RNA, 820 nt
Filed under: uncultured eukaryote
Lineage: Eukaryota
Description: SSU rRNA
Rfam family: Eukaryotic small subunit ribosomal RNA
Source: RNAcentral
AANNAUAAGNCCUGCAUGUCUAAGUAUAAGCAAAUUUUACAGUGAAACUGCGAAUGGCUCAUUAAAUCAGUUAUCGUUUAUUUGAUGUUCCCUUACUACAUGGAUACCUGUGGUAAUUCUAGAGCUAAUACAUGCUUCAAAGCCCGGCCUCUGGUCGGGCUGCACUUAUUAGAUAAAAAACCAAUGCCUUCACGGGCUCUUUGGUGAUUCAUAGUAAUUUAGCGGACCGCAUGGCCUUGAGCCGGCGGUGGAUCAUUCAAAUUUCUGCCCUAUCAACUUUCGAUGGUAGGAUAGUGGCCUACCAUGGUUUCAACGGGUAACGGGGAAUUAGGGUUCUAUUCCGGAGAGAGAGCCUGAGAAACGGCUACCACAUCCAAGGAAGGCAGCAGGCGCGCAAAUUACCCAAUCCCGAUACGGGGAGGUAGUGACAAUAAAUACUGAUACAGGGCUCUUAUGAGUCUUGUAAUUGGAAUGAGUACAAUUUAAAUCCCUUAACGAGGAACAAUUGGAGGGCAAGUCUGGUGCCAGCAGCCGCGGUAAUUCCAGCUCCAAUAGCGUAUAUUAAAGUUGUUGCAGUUAAAAAGCUCGUAGUUGAACCUUGGGCCUGGCUGGCCGGUCCGCCUCAUCGCGUGUACCGGUUCGGCCGGGCCUUUCCUUCUGGCAAACCUCAUGCCCUUAAUUGGGUGUGUGGGGAACCAGGACUUUUACUUUGAAAAAAUUAGAGUGUUCAAAGCAGGCAUUUGCUCGAAUACAUUAGCAUGGAAUAAUAGAAUAGGACGUGUGGUUCUAUUUUGUUGGUUUCUAGAACCGCCCUAAUGAU